CCAUCUCUUAGCCACUUUCCAGAUUUCAUAUUAAAGUUUGCUCCAAUCAGUGGGACCUUAGCUAUUGCUGGUAUUCCUAUAAAGCGGGCUAGUUUACAAGAAGUAGCAACCUUGUGAAGAAAGUUGGGUUAUACUUGGUUAAAAUGUCGCAUGCCUUGGGCUACUGGUGAUUUUGAGGGGAGAUACAUUUCAUUGCAAGCUUGGUUGUAUAUCU
Long non-coding RNA from Quercus lobata, 214 nucleotides. RefSeq lists it as uncharacterized. Lineage: Eukaryota; Viridiplantae; Streptophyta; Magnoliopsida; Fagales; Fagaceae. The transcript has 4 exons. The record is from RefSeq and is a predicted model, not a curated record.